GAUGAACGCUAGCGGCAGGCUUAACACAUGCAAGUCGAGGGGUAGAAGCAGCUUGCUGCUUUGAGACCGGCGCACGGGUGCGUAACGCGUAUGCAAUCUACCUUUUACAGAGGGAUAGCCCAGAGAAAUUUGGAUUAAUACCUCAUAGUAUGUGAGAAUCGCAUGGUUUUCACAUUAAAGUUCCAACGGUAAAAGAUGAGCAUGCGUCCCAUUAGCUAGAUGGUAAGGUAACGGCUUACCAUGGCGACGAUGGGUAGGGGUCCUGAGAGGGAGAUCCCCCACACUGGUACUGAGACACGGACCAGACUCCUACGGGAGGCAGCAGUGAGGAAUAUUGGACAAUGGUCGGAAGACUGAUCCAGCCAUGCCGCGUGAAGGAUGAAGGCGCUCAGCGUUGUAAACUUCUUUUGUACGGGAAGAAACAGCAGCUCUAACACAGUCUGCGAAUGACGGUACCUGAAGAUAAGCACCGGCUAA
Molecule: ribosomal RNA, 477 nt
Filed under: uncultured bacterium
Lineage: Bacteria
Description: bacterial SSU rRNA
Rfam family: Bacterial small subunit ribosomal RNA
Source: RNAcentral